Molecule: ribosomal RNA, 492 nt
Filed under: uncultured bacterium
Lineage: Bacteria
Description: partial 16S ribosomal RNA
Rfam family: Bacterial small subunit ribosomal RNA
Source: RNAcentral
AGUGAACGCUGGCGGUAGGCCUAACACAUGCAAGUCGAACGGCAGCACAGUAAGAGCUUGCUCUUACGGGUGGCGAGUGGCGGACGGGUGAGGAAUACAUCGGAAUCUACUUUUUCGUGGGGGAUAACGUAGGGAAACUUACGCUAAUACCGCAUACGACCUACGGGUGAAAGCAGGGGAUCUUCGGACCUUGCGCGAUUGAAUGAGCCGAUGUCGGAUUAGCUAGUUGGCGGGGUAAAGGCCCACCAAGGCGACGAUCCGUAGCUGGUCUGAGAGGAUGAUCAGCCACACUGGAACUGAGACACGGUCCAGACUCCUACGGGAGGCAGCAGUGGGGAAUAUUGGACAAUGGGCGCAAGCCUGAUCCAGCCAUACCGCGUGGGUGAAGAAGGCCUUCGGGUUGUAAAGCCCUUUUGUUGGGAAAGAAAAGCAGCAGGUUAAUACCCCGCUGUUCUGACGGUACCCAAAUAAUAAGCACCGGCUAACUUCGUG